GAUGAACGCUGGCGGCGUGCCUAACACAUGCAAGUCGAACGGGAAUCUUCGGAUUCUAGUGGCGGACGGGUGAGUAACGCGUAAGAAUCUAACUUCAGGACGGGGACAACAGUUGGAAACGACUGCUAAUACCCGAUAUGCCGCAAGGUGAAACCUAAUUGGCCUGGAGAAGAGCUUGCGUCUGAUUAGCUAGUUGGUGGGGUAAGAGCCUACCAAGGCGACGAUCUGUAGCUGGUCUGAGAGGACGAUCAGCCACACUGGAACUGAGACACGGUCCAGACUCCUACGGGAGGCAGCAGUGGGGAAUUUUCCGCAAUGGGCGAAAGCCUGACGGAGCAAUACCGCGUGAGGGACGAAGGCUUUUUGGGUCGUAAACCUCUUUUCUCAAGGAAGACACAGGACGGUACUUGAGGAAUAAGCAUCGGCUAACUCUGUGCCAGCAGCCGCGGUAAU
RNAcentral lists this ribosomal RNA (453 nucleotides) under uncultured cyanobacterium. Its description in RNAcentral is "bacterial SSU rRNA". It matches the Rfam family "Bacterial small subunit ribosomal RNA", at positions 28 to 524 of the family's 1533-position model. Lineage: Bacteria; Bacillati; Cyanobacteriota. The record is from RNAcentral.